UACGUAGGAGGCAAGCGUUAUCCGGAAUGACUGGGCGUAAAGGGUGCGUAGGUGGUCUGGCAAGUUGGCAGCGUAAUCCCGGGGCUCAACUCCGGUGCUACUGCCAAAACUGUCGGACUUGAGUGCAGGAGGGGUGAAUGGAAUUCCUAGUGUAGCGGUGGAAUGCGUAGAUAUUAGGAAGAACACCAAUGGCGAAGGCAGCCCCCUGGGAUACGACUGACGCUCAUGCACGAAAGCGUGGGGAGCAGACAGG
Molecule: ribosomal RNA, 253 nt
Filed under: uncultured bacterium
Lineage: Bacteria
Description: partial 16S ribosomal RNA
Rfam family: Bacterial small subunit ribosomal RNA
Source: RNAcentral